GACGAACGCUGGCGGCGUGCUUAACACAUGCAAGUCGAACGUGAUUUUUGUGGAAAUUCUUUCGGGAAUGGAAAUGAAAUGAAAGUGGCGAACGGGUGAGUAACACGUGAGCAACCUACCUUACACAGGGGGAUAGCCGUUGGAAACGACGAUUAAUACCGCAUGAGACCACAGAAUCGCAUGAUAUAGGGGUCAAAGAUUUAUCGGUGUAAGAAGGGCUCGCGUCUGAUUAGCUAGUUGGAAGGGUAAAGGCCUACCAAGGCGACGAUCAGUAGCCGGUCUGAGAGGAUGAACGGCCACAUUGGAACUGAGACACGGUCCAAACUCCUACGGGAGGCAGCAGUGGGGAAUAUUGCACAAUGGGGGGAACCCUGAUGCAGCGACGCCGCGUGAGCGAAGAAGGUUUUCGAAUCGUAAAGCUCUGUCCUAUGAGAAGAUAAUGACGGUAUCAUAGGAGGGGGCCCCGGCUAAAUACGUGCCAGCAGCCGCGGUAAUACGUAUGGGGCGAGCGUUGUCCGGAAUUAUUGGGCGUAAAGGGUACGUAGGCGGUUUUUUAAGUCAGGUGUGAAAGCGUGAGGCUUAACCUCAUUAAGCACUUGAAACUGGAAGACUUGAGUGAAGGAGAGGAAAGUGGAAUUCCUAGUGUAGCGGUGAAAUGCGUAGAUAUUAGGAGGAAUACCGGUGGCGAAGGCGACUUUCUGGACUUUUACUGACGCUCAGGUACGAAAGCGUGGGGAGCAACAGG
Molecule: ribosomal RNA, 745 nt
Filed under: uncultured Parvimonas sp.
Lineage: Bacteria; Bacillati; Bacillota; Tissierellia; Tissierellales; Peptoniphilaceae
Description: bacterial SSU rRNA
Rfam family: Bacterial small subunit ribosomal RNA
Source: RNAcentral